UUAGUGGCGCACGGGUGCGUAACGCGUGGGAAUCAGCCCCUUGGUUCGGAAUAACAGUUGGAAACGACUGCUAAUACCGGAUGACGACGUAAGUCCAAAGAUUUAUCGCCGAGGGAUGAGCCCGCGUAGGAUUAGGUAGUUGGUGUGGUAAAGGCGCACCAAGCCGACGAUCCUUAGCUGGUCUGAGAGGAUGAUCAGCCACACUGGGACUGAGACACGGCCCAGACUCCUACGGGAGGCAGCAGUGGGGAAUAUUGGACAAUGGGCGAAAGCCUGAUCCAGCAAUGCCGCGUGAGUGAUGAAGGCCUUAGGGUUGUAAAGCUCUUUUACCCGGGAUGAUAAUGACAGUACCGGGAGAAUAAGCUCCGGCUAACUCCGUGCCAGCAGCCGCGGUAAUACGGAGGGAGCUAGCGUUAUUCGGAAUUACUGGGCGUAAAGCGCACGUAGGCGGCUUUGUAAGUAAGAGGUGAAAGCCCAGAGCUCAACUCUGGAAUUGCCUUUUAGACUGCAUCGCUUGAAUCAUGGAGAGGUCAGUGGAAUUCCGAGUGUAGAGGUGAAAUUCGUAGAUAUUCGGAAGA
Molecule: ribosomal RNA, 578 nt
Filed under: uncultured Sphingomonas sp.
Lineage: Bacteria; Pseudomonadati; Pseudomonadota; Alphaproteobacteria; Sphingomonadales; Sphingomonadaceae
Description: bacterial SSU rRNA
Rfam family: Bacterial small subunit ribosomal RNA
Source: RNAcentral